This 253-nucleotide ribosomal RNA is filed under the name uncultured bacterium. Its description in RNAcentral is "partial 16S ribosomal RNA". It matches the Rfam family "Bacterial small subunit ribosomal RNA", at positions 524 to 776 of the family's 1533-position model. The record is from RNAcentral.
UACGUAGGGUGCAAGCGUUAAUCGGAAUUACUGUGCGUAAAGCGGGCGCAGGCGGUUUUGUAAGUCUGACGUGAAAGCCCCGGGCUCAACCUGGGAAUUGCGUUGGAGACUGCAAGGCUUGAAUCUGGCAGAGGGGGGUAGAAUUCCACGUGUAGCAGUGAAAUGCGUAGAGAUGUGGAGGAACACCGAUGGCGAAGGCAGCCCCCUGGGUCAAGAUUGACGCUCAUGCACGAAAGCGUGGGGAGCAAACAGG